RNAcentral lists this unclassified non-coding RNA (201 nucleotides) under soil metagenome. Its description in RNAcentral is "partial internal transcribed spacer 1". The record is from RNAcentral.
AUGAGUCUAGGGUCCUCUAGGCCCGACCUCCCAACCCUUUGUUACUGAACCUACUGUUGCUUCGGCGGGCCCGUUCUCACGGACCGCCGGAGGACCGCCGUCAGGGCGUCCUCUAGCCCGCUGUCCGCCGAUAGCCAACUAAAAAACUCUGUAUUGAAUCCUGUCGUCAUGUCUGAAUGUCAUAAUAAGCAAAUAAAUGCA